GUGUUCCACUAACAUUUCUUCCUAAUGAGAGCAAGAUCUGCCUGAUGCAAGCCUGCAGAGACCCAGAAAUUUGGGAAUUGAUAAUCUGGAUGGCAAGCUUCACGUGAGCUGGUACAGGGAGCUGGAUUUAAGUAGUCUCCAAAGCAGCCUUCAGCGCUUCGUUCUCAUCCAGCUGGAUCACAAGCCUGUGAGGAAACAAAAGGCAACUUUCAUGUGAGCUGUGGAGCUUCAAAGCAAAUUAGAACAGUGCUUCAGCUCCAGGGAAGAAAGCCCUGAAACACAUGCUCUCUGGUAAUUUUGUAACAGGCUUGAGAAAGAGCAGACUUAUAAACACUUGUUCCUUCUCUCUUUGAGAUAGAAAAGGGUAUUAGAAGACCAAAUACUUUUCAGAUGUUUUUUUAAACGUGUAAUUUUGUUUUCACUAAUAGCUUGAAAUCAAUGGCUAAGGAAAGAAAAAGAGAAAAAAGG
Molecule: long non-coding RNA, 468 nt
Organism: Oxyura jamaicensis (ruddy duck)
Lineage: Eukaryota; Metazoa; Chordata; Aves; Anseriformes; Anatidae
Exons: 2
Source: RefSeq, a predicted model, not a curated record